UGGGGAAUCUUGGACAAUGGGGGCAACCCUGAUCCAGCCAUGCCGCGUGAGUGAUGAAGGCCUUAGGGUCGUAAAGCUCUUUCGCCUGUGAAGAUAAUGACGGUAGCAGGUAAAGAAACCCCGGCUAACUCCGUGCCAGCAGCCGCGGUAAUACGGAGGGGGUUAGCGUUGUUCGGAAUUACUGGGCGUAAAGCGCACGUAGGCGGAUCGGAAAGUUGGGGGUGAAAUCCCGGGGGCUCAACCCCGGAACUGCCUCCAAAACUAUCGGUCUAGAGUUCGAGAGAGGUGAGUGGAAUUCCGAGUGUAGAGGUGAAAUUCGUAGAUAUUCGGAGGAACACCAGUGGCGAAGGCGGCUCACUGGCUCGAUACUGACGCUGAGGUGCGAAAGUGUGGGGGAGCAAACAGGAUUAGAUACCCUGGUAGUCCACACCGUAAACGAUGAAUGCCAGUCGUCGGAUAGCAUGCUAUUCGGUGACACACCUAACGGAUUAAGCAUUCCGCCUGGGGAGUACGGUCGCAAGAUUAAAACUC
RNAcentral lists this ribosomal RNA (531 nucleotides) under uncultured bacterium. RNAcentral describes it as "bacterial SSU rRNA". It matches the Rfam family "Bacterial small subunit ribosomal RNA", at positions 355 to 902 of the family's 1533-position model. The record is from RNAcentral.